This 60-nucleotide ribosomal RNA is filed under the name uncultured organism. Its description in RNAcentral is "partial 16S ribosomal RNA". The record is from RNAcentral.
ACCUUUUGACAUGUCUGGACCGGCAGAGAGAUUUGCCUUUUCCUUCGGGAACCAGAACAC